This 528-nucleotide ribosomal RNA is filed under the name uncultured Glomeromycotina. RNAcentral describes it as "SSU rRNA". It matches the Rfam family "Eukaryotic small subunit ribosomal RNA", at positions 569 to 1092 of the family's 1831-position model. Lineage: Eukaryota; Fungi; Glomeromycota. The record is from RNAcentral.
AGCAGCCGCGGUAAUCCCAGCUCCAAUAGCGUAUAUUAAAGUUGUUGCAGUUAAAAAGCUCGUAGUUGAAUUUCGGGAUUGACACAUCGGUCGUGCCUUAAGGGGUAUGAACUGGUGUAGUCAAUUUCUCACCUUCUGGAGAACCACGAUGCCCUUAAUUGGGUGUCGCGGGGAACCAGGACCUUUACUUUGAAAAAAUUAGAGUGUUUAAAGCAGGCAUUUUGCUUGAAUACAUUAGCAUGGAAUAAUAAAAUAGGACGGCAUGAUUCUAUUUUGUUGGUUUCUAGGAUCGCCGUAAUGAUUAAUAGGGAUAGUUGGGGGCAUUAGUAUUCAAUUGUCAGAGGUGAAAUUCUUGGAUUUAUUGAAGACUAACUACUGCGAAAGCAUUUGCCAAGGAUGUUUUCAUUAAUCAAGAACGAAAGUUAGGGGAUCGAAGACGAUCAGAUACCGUCGUAGUCUUAACCAUAAACUAUGCCGACUAGGAAUCAGACGAUGUUAAUUUUUUAAUGACUCGUUUGGCACCUUACG